Molecule: non-coding RNA, 79 nt
Organism: Leptolyngbya sp. Heron Island J
Lineage: Bacteria; Bacillati; Cyanobacteriota; Cyanophyceae; Leptolyngbyales; Leptolyngbyaceae
Source: Rfam
UUGAGCCGGAUGAGAGGAAACUAUCAUGUCCGGUUCUGAGGGGGGAGAGGGGCUGUGAGGCUCUUCUCUCCUACCCAAC